ACUAAGUUUCAACAACGGAUCUCUUGGCUCUCGCAUCGAUGAAGAACGCAGCGAAAUGCGAUAAGUAAUGUGAAUUGCAGAAUUCAGUGAAUCAUCGAAUCUUUGAACGCACCUUGCGCUCCUUGGUAUUCCUUGGAGCAUGCCUGUU
This 148-nucleotide ribosomal RNA is filed under the name uncultured Rhizoctonia. RNAcentral describes it as "5.8S ribosomal RNA". It matches the Rfam family "5.8S ribosomal RNA". From Rfam's summary of the family: 5.8S ribosomal RNA (5.8S rRNA) is a component of the large subunit of the eukaryotic ribosome. It is transcribed by RNA polymerase I as part of the 45S precursor that also contains 18S and 28S rRNA. Lineage: Eukaryota; Fungi; Basidiomycota. The record is from RNAcentral.